This is a non-coding RNA of Oryzias latipes (Japanese medaka), 1981 nucleotides long. Lineage: Eukaryota; Metazoa; Chordata; Actinopteri; Beloniformes; Adrianichthyidae. The record is from RefSeq and is a predicted model, not a curated record.
AUUUUUGUGAUGUGUUUUAAGGUCCGAUCAGACUGGUUGGGUCUGGAUCAACUCGCUGCUCUGGAAGAGUUGAAGUUUACCACAAUGGAUCCUGGGGAACAGUCUGUGAUGAUGACUGGGAUCUAAAUGAUGCAAAUGUGGUCUGUAGACAGUUGUCCUGUGGACCAGCUCUUCAAACUCCUGGAUCAUCUCAUUUUGGUCAAGGAUCAGACAAAAUCUGGCUGGAUGAUGUAGCAUGUUCAGGCAAUGAAAGCUCAUUAAUACAGUGUGGUCACAGAGGUUAUGGAACACAUAACUGUGAUCAUAGAGAAGAUGCUGGUGUCAUCUGUUCAGCGGAACUGCAGAGGCCUAAUAUCUCACUCACGUCUCCUGGAGUGGGGUUAAUCUGGGGUCCUGGAGAAGCGGAGGUUACCAGGGGUCACAGCUUUAACUUAACCUGCUUCAUUCCUGAUGAAGUUUUUCAGGGUCAUUUCCUCCUCAUGUUUUCUGGUUCCAACAAGACAAACAGACUCCCAGCUGCCAACAAUUCAGCCUCCUUUACCUUUCCUGAGGCAGAGUUUGAACACCAAGGUAGCUACAGCUGUGUGUACCAGGUUAUCUUGCCUACAUCCACGUUCACCUCUGCUGCAUCAGCACCCAUCACUGUUGUAUUUAAACAGUCCCUGUUGUUGAUCUUGUUGAUAUCAAGUGGAAUCUUUCUUCUGCUGCUGUUCAUCUUGAUCCUGAUCUGUCUGGUUCGAAGGAGAAGAAAACUCAGCAAUUCAUCGAUUCUUUACCAGACUCAAAGGGCUCUUCAAGAGUGCACUGGAGACAGUGAGGAAGAUUAUGAAAAUCCUGACGGAGAACACAUUCCAUCAAGACUCACAAAGGAAUCAGAAGACGAAGACAGUAAUGAUUAUGUGAAUGCAAUAUAUGAUGAGAACAUUGAUUAUUCAGAAGCUGAUUCACGAUCCAGAAGAAAGUGUUUGAAUACGGAGAAUAACAGGCAGGAUGAGGAAACGGAUGAAGAGGAUGAAGGAACCAGUGAUGAUGAUAAUGACUAUGAGAAUGUAACUGCACAUUUCCAUCAGCCUGUUGAUGAUACUUAUGUAGAUCCAGUCUUUGACAAGAGUAUUGAUUAUCCAGAACUUGGUUUACAAUCCCAAAAGGAGGAAAUGGAUGAAGACACCAAUGAUGAUGAUAAUGACUAUGAGAAUGUAACUGCACAAGUCCAUUAACCUGUUGAAGAUACUUAUGUAGAUUCAAUCUUAGAUAAGAGUAUUGAUUAUCCAGAACUCGAUUUACAAUUCCAAGAGGAGGAAAUGGAUGAAGAUACCAGUGAUGAGGAUAAUGAAUACAUAAAUGUUUCCAAAUUCCAAAUCCAAUCUGGCAGAUUAUCAGGAUCAGGUGAGAUACAGGUCACCGAUGACUACCAGACGGAUGUCUUAUGUCUUUCAGGAGCUUUUGUCAAGUUUUUCUUUUUCUUGAUGCUUUGUAGAUUUGCAGUCUUUUAAGGCUUAAUGCUGUACAGAAAUGUAAGAUGACAAAUUUAUGACCUAUUCAGCCAUUAUGUAAGUCAAAAUAUCACACUUAUUUUGUUGCCGUAUUUGGUUUUGUUCAUUCUUUUUGUUCUGUUUUGUACUUUUUAUUUCUAUCAGAGUGGGACUUUGUUGUUUUUGUGCAUCUUUGUAUGUUUGUCUAAUUAUUUUCAUGUUUUGUGCUGGAAAGAGUGUGGCUUCCAUUUGGACCCCAGCUGAUGGAGGCAGCCUUUAAAAGCACCAUGUAGACUUCCAACCUGUAAGAAGGGAGAUUUUCUGCAACCUGUCUUCACUGCAGCUCGGCACUCUUAUCCAUUUGUUUUGUAGUUCUCCACCUGUUUUAGUUUGAGUUUCACUUUGGAAUUUUGUGGGUUUGUGACCUGGGGCCUGUUUCAGAAAGGAGGUUAAGUGUAAACUCUGAGUGCGUUAACCCUGAAAUCAGGGAAACCCUGGGUUUGGGAGGU